AGUGAACGCUGGCGGUAGGCCUAACACAUGCAAGUCGAACGGCAGCACAGAGGAGCUUGCUCCUUGGGUGGCGAGUGGCGGACGGGUGAGGAAUACAUCGGAAUCUACUCUGUCGUGGGGGAUAACGUAGGGAAACAUACGCUAAUACCGCAUACGACCUACGGGUGAAAGCAGGGGAUCUUCGGACCUUGCGCGAUUGAAUGAGCCGAUGUCGGAUUAGCUAGUUGGCGGGGUAAAGGCCCACCAAGGGGACGAUCCGUAGCUGGUUUGAGAGGAUGAUCAGCCACACUGGAACUGAGAAACGGUCCAGACUCCUACGGGAGGCAGCAGUGGGGAAUAUUGGACAAUGGGCGCAAGCCUGAUCCAGCCAUACCGCGUGGGUGAAGAAGGCCUUCGGGUUGUAAAGCCCUUUUGUUGGGAAAGAAAUCCAUCUGGUUAAUACCCGGGUGGGAUGACGGUACCCAAAGAAUAAGCACCGGCUAACUUCGUGCCAGCCGCCGCCGUAA
RNAcentral lists this ribosomal RNA (506 nucleotides) under uncultured bacterium. RNAcentral's name for it is "partial 16S ribosomal RNA". It matches the Rfam family "Bacterial small subunit ribosomal RNA", at positions 29 to 523 of the family's 1533-position model. The record is from RNAcentral.